Molecule: ribosomal RNA, 465 nt
Filed under: uncultured bacterium
Lineage: Bacteria
Description: bacterial SSU rRNA
Rfam family: Bacterial small subunit ribosomal RNA
Source: RNAcentral
GGGCCCGCACAAGCGGAGGAACAUGUGGUUUAAUUCGAUGAUACGCGAGGAACCUUACCCGGGCUCGAACGGUGCAUGAAUGAUUCAGAGAUGGAUUAGUCCUUCGGGACAUGUAUCGAGGUGCUGCAUGGUUGUCGUCAGCUCGUGCCGUGAGGUGUCGGCUUAAGUGCCAUAACGAGCGCAACCCUUGUCGUUAGUUGCCAUCAGGUAAUGCUGGGAACUCUAGCGAGACUGCCACCGUAAGGUGCGAGGAAGGGGGGGAUGACGUCAAAUCAGCACGGCCCUUACGUCCGGGGCGACACACGUGUUACAAUGGCAGGUACAGAGGGCAGCUACCCAGCGAUGGGGUGCGAAUCUCGAAAGCCUGUCUCAGUUCGGAUCGGAGUCUGCAACUCGACUCCGUGAAGUUGGAUUCGCUAGUAAUCGCGCAUCAGCCAUGGCGCGGUGAAUACGUUCCCGGGCCUU